RNAcentral lists this long non-coding RNA (533 nucleotides) under Spirodela polyrhiza (greater duckweed). RNAcentral's name for it is "long non-coding RNA (SPOL_LNC000804)". Lineage: Eukaryota; Viridiplantae; Streptophyta; Magnoliopsida; Alismatales; Araceae. The record is from RNAcentral.
CCGUAUCCCCCUCCUUUCCACAGCUCGAUCUCCUCUUCCUCUGUGGCAGCGCGUCCGGGCACCAUUGCCAUCAACACGAGAGCCGCGAAGGGGAGGAAUCCUCUCGCCAUGUCUGCCUCAAUCGCUGAUGGUUAUGGUGGGUUUUCUUUCUUCUUUGCCCUCUUGGUAAGGAUGGCAAUUUAUAAAAAUCAAGGGAAGGUAGGAGACUAGUGGGCUGGUGUUUUGCCUCGGAAUCCCUCUUCUCCCCCCUGACUCCCUGGCCUCCUCUCUCUCCCUCUCUGUGAACCAGGAAGUGUUGGCAGUGUGAAUGGAGAUGGAGAAGACUGCAGGGGCGGCGAAUUCUGUCUUGGCUUUGAAGAAGAAGAAGAAGAGGACGUCGGGGAUUUUCUCUUUCUUCCACCCUCAGCCCACCCCCUUCUUCUUGAUCCCCCCUGUUAACAGGUGUAGGCUUGAAGCCUAAGGGAGCGACCUUCCCUUUAUCCUUGAACUUCGCUUCACUACACAACCACGUUUCUCCGCCGUCCCCUCCUCCU